This 449-nucleotide ribosomal RNA is filed under the name uncultured bacterium. Its description in RNAcentral is "partial 16S ribosomal RNA". It matches the Rfam family "Bacterial small subunit ribosomal RNA", at positions 328 to 792 of the family's 1533-position model. The record is from RNAcentral.
UGACCAGACUCCUACGGGAGGCAGCAGUGGGGAAUAUUGCACAAUGGGCGAAAGCCUGAUGCAGCAACGCCGCGUGAAGGAAGAAGGGUUUCGGCUCGGAAACUUCUAUCAACAGGGACGAAAGAAAUGACGGUACCUGAAUAAGAAGCCCCGGCUAACUACGUGCCAGCAGCCGCGGUAAUACGUAGGGGGCAAGCGUUAUCCGGAUUUACUGGGUGUAAAGGGAGCGUAGGCGGGGGAACAAGUUGAAUGUUUAAGAUAUGGGCUCAACUCAUAUAAGCGUUCAAAACUGUUUUUCUUGAGUGAAGUAGAGGUAAGCGGAAUUCCUAGUGUAGCGGUGGAAUGCGUAAAUAUUAGGAGGAACACCAGUGGCGAAGGCGGCUUACUGGGCUUUAACUGACGCUGAGGCUCGAAAGCGUGGGUAGCAAACAGGAUUAGAUACCCGUGUA